GUUCUGUUCAUUCCCUCUGGGGCACCCGGCAUUGGCUGCUGUUGGAAAACAGGAUACUGGGCUAGAUGGACCUUUGGUCUGGCCCAGUGUGGCCUUUCAUAGGUAAGACAGUGUGACCCCUGGAGGGUCCUGUGUCCCAUCUUGGUCUGAGAGGUGGCAUGCUGGGAUCCAUCGUCUCUCUGGACCGCACCUCUACAGAGAAAUAAGGGCAGCUGCAAUCUGCCCUGUUUUGUACAAAUCAGGGCGCUGACACCCGUCUGUCCUCUGGCAAGCUGCUCAUAUAGCCCCUUGUCUGGGCAAAUUUUGGGCAGGCCUGCUUUAGAUGCUGGCAGCCAUCCUGGCUCUAUCACAGAUGGAUUUUGCCCACCCCCCGAGCUGAAGUCUGCGCCUGCUGGAUUGUAUGCAAUACCUAGCGUGGCUAUUUAUAUUUUUAGCUUCCUAUUAUAAGGGCUGACAUGGGCCAGAGGGAGUGUGCUCUCAUGGUUAGAGCAGGGGACUGGGAGUCAGGACCCCUGGCUUCUAUCCUUGGCUCUGGCAUCAACUCACUGGGUGAGUCCCUGCCCUGCUCUGUGCCUCAAUUUACCCAUCCAUGUAAUGGAGAUAUUGAUGCACACUCCCCUCCCAGGGGAGCUGUGAAACAAUCCAAGAAUAUAUAUAGCACUCUGAGCUUCUCAGAUAUCAGACACUACGGAGGGGUAACAAAUUACUGUUAUCUGAGCACUCCCCUGAGACCUGCUGUGGGGGGAGGAAGGAGCAGGUCCUGAACCCUGUUAAACAGAAGCACAAAUGAAGACAGCUCUUCAGGGCUCACUCCCUUUCAGUACAUCCUACCUGAGCUCCUAUAACACGCCAAGGUAAAGCUCCCAGUUUCCAGAGGAAACCAGGGUAGGGCCUGGAACCAUCCUGUGCUGGUGUAUUGGCUACACUGGCGGCACUGAAUUCCUGGAUCUCCCAUGGGGUGGGGUAUAUGUACAUGGGGUCCUGUUACCCUACGUGAGAAAGUGGAAAUUAUCUGUAAUAGUUGUAUGAAGCCUAGGUGUGCCUCAGUUUCCCCAUGUCUGUUGCAUUGCUCCCCAGUGGGUGCAGAAGGGUUAACACCGCACCUGGAACAGUGCAGGAGACAGGAAGUGUGCUUGUGUCACCUAGCUCCGGGUGGAAUGAAUAGAGUCAUUCAAGAAUUGGCUGAAACUGACCCAAAUCAGCAGAGAGUCAACCAAGACAAAGAGAGCCCCAGGGACUGACCAACCAACACCCAACAGAGGAAGCUCCAGCAGGUGGGACACUUGAACUGAGCUGGAGAAUAAAGGGAAAAGUGGGCAGGUGACCAGGAGAAGGGCUGGCUUUGGAGGGCGUUGGCUGCUCUCACCUGGGCGCCAGCGGACGAAAGACAGAGAGCUCCAGCCCAGGAAUGAAGCCCACAGUAGCUUGUCUGGCUCGUCACAGCACCGGCUGGGCUAGGGCUUAACUUCGGCCUUGCUUUGCUGACUUAAGGCCUCACAGAGACUGGAGCGAGGUGACUCAGGAAUGGUGGCCCUGCUUGGAAAAGGCCCCGGCUGUGUCGGCUCCCUGGGAGCACUGAGCCCCUAACGAGCUACAGGACAAGCCUCCCGCAGGAGUCUAGACUCGCUGCAGGGAGCCAGAGAGAGAGAGACAGGGAUGGCUGGUGCCGAUGGCCCGGUCUCAGUGUCGUGGAGGCCACGGGCCUGCCCCUGUGGAGCUGUGUGGAUCCUGGGGACCUGGCCCGUUAAAGGGCUCACUCCCGGGAGACAGGUUCCAGGCUGGGCAUAAACCAGCCCCCGUGAUGCCGUGACACCCCCCAGGAUCCCAAGGGGCAGGACUGGAGGAUCUCCCUCUCCCCUGGUGUGCGUGGGAAGGAAAUGGGGGGGGUCUGGCCCGACCCCCUGCAAGGAUUUGAUCCUCCAUGGGCACAGCCGCAUCCAUGCUGGGUGGAGAAGGCUGGGCAUAUCCCCUUCCGUACCGCCUGCCCACCAGCCCAGAGCAGCUCUGACUGGGGGGGGGGGGGUGCACCCCUCAUCCCGUCUCACUCCUCGUCCCCCCGCCAUGGCUCUGGCAACGAAUCCCAGGGACACAAAUAGCUCCUUUUGCCCAGCCAGCCCGGUUGGGUUGCCUUGGGAACAGGAGCUCGGCUUUUGAUGUCACUGGGAUGGUUGCUACGGCGACUGGCCCAGAUUGCCUGUCCCUGCAUGAGGUCACUAUUGCCAUGGAGACAGACUGGGUUGAGCGAGAGCCCUGGUGCUUUGGCGGUAUGGGGAGGGAGGUAGAUGGAGCCGCCUGAGCCGGCCCAGCCCCUUGGCAGCUCCAGCGUGGCGGGCGCAACCAGCUCCCAAAAUGCAACCGCAUCACACGUCCAGCUGCACAGCCCUCAUGUGGGACAGGAAGCCUGGCUCUGCCGCCCUUCACGGUGACCCUCGAUUACACGGAUGACCCCUGGGUCAGAGAGCAGGGGAUGGGGGUGGGAUAUGGAAAUGCAGUUAAAGAGCAAGAGAAGCGUCAGUGUCAGAAGGGUAUGGAGGAUCAGAGGACACCAGAGUACCAGAGGAGUAUUAUGGUCACAGAGACAUGGUAGAAUAUUCCAGGGUUACUAGAGGUACUAAAACUUCAGAGCAAUACUGUGGUGCCAGAGGUGUAUCAGAGGCAUUAGAGUAUCAGAGGGGUACUAGAGAGACUAGAGUCACAAUGAUACUAGAGAUUAUCUCAGAGUUACUAGAGCUAUGAGAGUAUCAGUAUUGUGGUGUUAGAGUACUAGAAAAAUUAGACUAGCAGAGGGGUACUAGAGCAUCAAAAGUACUACUAUAGAUACUAGUCUAUCAGAGUCAGAGUGGUGGUGGAGAGUUCUAGAGUAUCAGAUGAGUAUUAGAGAGCCAGGCGGUACUUUAGAUACUAAAGUGUCCAAGGAGUACUACUAGAGGUACUAGAAGCUCAGAGUGGCACUAGAGAGUCAGAGAGAUAUAAGAGGAGUACUGGGGUAUUCGCAUGUCAGAGGUAUACUAAAGGUACUAGAGGAUCAGGGUGUACUGGAGGUACUAGAGUAUCAGGGUGGAGGGAAUAGAGGCAUUAGUUUAUGUGGAAUAAUGUACUAGAUUAUCAGAGGGUGUUAGGGACAGUAGAGCAUCAGACAAGUACUAGUACUAGAGUAUCUGAGGGGUAAGAAUGGCACUAUAGCAUGAGUGAGGUAAUAGAAAUGCUAGAGUCAUAGGUACUACUAGAGUGUCUGAGGGUACUAGAGUAUUGGAGUAUCAGAGGGACACUAGACGUGGAACAUUGGGUCACGGAUAUUAGGAUAAAGAGUGCAUUAGGAAUUCUUAAACCAAACUGAUACUGAGAGUAGGUUCUGUUUUACAAAGGACUCUGAGAUUUCAAAGUUUGGCUUCAUUUAGAAAUGGCAUGAAACCUGAAAACUUGAACGUCUCCACAAAGGACAAUUCCAGAAAAAAAUGGUUUGGGAUCGAUCGAAACAUUUCGAUUUCAACGUUAUUAUAUUAUAUUACAUUAUAUUACAUUAUAUAUAAAAUACAGAAUAAAUCAAUUCAAAAUGAAAAGUCAUUUAAAAGAAAUCAAAACAUUUCAGUCCGAAAAUGUGGAAACUGAACAUUUCAGCGUUGUCAGAACUUGUUUUUUUCCCAGAAUGAAAGUUGGCGAAAUGGCCACGAUUCUGCAACAUAUUUCGAUUUUGACGGAGCUGCACUUGCUGACAGUAAAUGGUUCAGUCACAGUUUUCCUGCCCAGCUCGAAUGGUCGUGGUGAACCAGCAUGUGCAGAACCAAGAGAGAACGCCAGCCGAUCUAAACAGAGAGGCAUGAGUUACCCUCUCAAGCUGACAGCUGGGGGUCGCAGAAGCGCUGGAGUCUGAGAUCCGGAUGCCGCUGGGAACCCCUGGAGAGCCCCAGCGAAGGUGUCUGAUAGUGAAUGCCAGCCACUAAGUGCACGUGGCUUAACUGCAUAUAAUCCAUUUAACAGCACAAGUCACCUGGGGCCUUGAUCUGUCCUCAUUAGAUUAAGUGGGGCAUCCACCUAGCUUAACGUCAUAGCAGCUAACUGCAGCAUUUGGGGAUCUGCAGGCCAAGUGGGGUACACACGGUGACUUUAGCAGUAUCAUCGCUCUGGCUAAUGCUUUGCACCUUCCGGCCUGGGAUCUCAAAGCGCUCUGUGGAGAUUCGGUAAUGAAACCUCACACACCGUCCCUUUGAAAUAGGGAAAGGUUUGACAGGGAACACCCCCCUUCCACUGAAAUGCAGCCACUUCUGGGGUGGAGUAGGGGCAGGAAGGCUUCAAAGGGUAAAGCUACACUACCUACCAGUGCAGGACAGGAAGUGAAGAAGGAUCCUGUAUCCGGUGGAAAGUGCGGGGUGAGUUUAGGUAGGCAGAACAAAGCAUUCUGCACUGGAGGUUGGUCAGGAUGCGGGAGCUUACGGGCCGCCUCUGACCAAAACACCCAUGGGUGGGACCCUGAAUGGUCUCAAACAUACAGGACCUUUCCAGCUCACCCAGAUGACAGCGAUUCCAGCAGUGCAGCAUUCCCAGACCACCCUGGGAAAAGGGGGUCAGCGGCCACUCAGAGGGGAGAGCGCCUCCUAUCGAGUCAUGUAUAUUGCACCCUGCAGCCCAGUGCCCUGUAGCACAGCUCUGCGACACUGGGGUCAGCACUGACUUAGAGGGGAGAGCGCCCCCUACUGAGUCACACUACUUCCUCCAGCACAGCACCCCCAGCAACACAGGGAGGUUAGGUGCUGUCUAGGAGAGAAGAGCGCCCCCCACUGAAUCACACAUUUCCUGCCACAGCCUGGCGUUUUCCUUGGGGGUGGCCCAGGAGUCUAAUACUCCCCUGAGUGGUUAGCUUAUGGGGUCAGCUGGGAUCCCAGCACAGUGGCCUGACUGCAGGCCAAGGCUGAAGCGCAAGCACACGGUAGGUGUAACGCACAUAUACGUAAGCUCAGGAGCUGCUGUAUCCACUCCAGCGAAUUGUUCAUUGGCGUCAAGAUGGAAACUUGUUAUUUCAGUGCAGGAAAUAAAACCGGCCGUUCCCUACUCCGUUUA
Molecule: long non-coding RNA, 5055 nt
Organism: Trachemys scripta elegans
Lineage: Eukaryota; Metazoa; Chordata; Testudines; Emydidae
Exons: 2
Source: RefSeq, a predicted model, not a curated record